AAGGUCUUUUUGAUGAAGUGAAUCGGUUUCAAAGACACAGUGGGGGGCCCCCCCCGGGCAUUA
This 63-nucleotide transfer RNA is filed under the name Boodlea composita. Its description in RNAcentral is "tRNA-Phe". Lineage: Eukaryota; Viridiplantae; Chlorophyta; Ulvophyceae; Cladophorales; Boodleaceae. The record is from RNAcentral.